Molecule: transfer RNA, 88 nt
Filed under: Deinococcus ficus
Lineage: Bacteria; Thermotogati; Deinococcota; Deinococci; Deinococcales; Deinococcaceae
Also listed under: 2 other names
Description: tRNA-Ser
Rfam family: tRNA
About the family: Transfer RNA (tRNA) molecules are approximately 80 nucleotides in length. Their secondary structure includes four short double-helical elements and three loops (D, anti-codon, and T loops).
Source: RNAcentral
GGAGAGGUGGGUGAGUGGCUGAAACCGCGUCCCUGCUAAGGACGUAUACCGCAAGGUAUCGGGGGUUCGAAUCCCCCCCUCUUCGCCA